This 523-nucleotide long non-coding RNA is filed under the name Fukomys damarensis (Damara mole-rat). RNAcentral describes it as "lncRNA (ENSFDAG00000028019.1)". The record is from RNAcentral. Lineage: Eukaryota; Metazoa; Chordata; Mammalia; Rodentia; Bathyergidae.
CUUGAGACAAGAGGUUAGGUGUCUCUGUGAUGAUCUCUGAGAGGCCCCUGGGCAAUCACUGUCACCAUGGUCUGCUUUAAUUUGACAACCUAAACUGAUAGCAGCAAUGUCCCAAUGUGUCCUCCACAGUGCCUCCAUAUAUAAGAGGACAGCCAAGAGCACCACAGAGGAACUGUAGCUAGUGAAAAUCACUAGUUCUGUCACCAUACCUAAUGAAGGAGCAACUCCAAGUCAGGCCAUCAGAGUUGACAGAACCAAGGCUGGCACAAGGAGAUACUCAGCCCAGGUCCGUGGAGAACAGGUUGGGCUAAGCGUCAGCCUCCUGCUUCAGAGAGCUCCCCUGACACCAUCCAUGAGGAGCUUUGGGAACAGGACAUCUCUGUGCCCUGCAGCCCAGAACCCCGGUCAUCACAGGACAAGGCUGAGAAAAGAGAGCACCAGACAUGUCUGCUGUGUGCGCCUAUGUCCUUCCAAAGGGAUUCGAAUGUGUUUUAAAUAAAUGGCAUUUUUUUUCCUACCGAAC